This 28-nucleotide small RNA is filed under the name Bombyx mori (domestic silkworm). RNAcentral's name for it is "ovarian small RNA-35778". The record is from RNAcentral. Lineage: Eukaryota; Metazoa; Arthropoda; Insecta; Lepidoptera; Bombycidae.
UGUCUAUAAAUUCUUAGUCAUCGCACCC